RNAcentral lists this unclassified non-coding RNA (308 nucleotides) under plant metagenome. RNAcentral describes it as "partial contains 5.8S ribosomal RNA, internal transcribed spacer 2, and large subunit ribosomal RNA". The stretch from base 1 to 105 matches the Rfam family "5.8S ribosomal RNA", at positions 50 to 154 of the family's 154-position model. The record is from RNAcentral.
GAAAUGCGAUAAGUAAUGUGAAUUGCAGAAUUCAGUGAAUCAUCGAAUCUUUGAACGCACAUUGCGCCCGCCAGUAUUCUGGCGGGCAUGCCUGUUCGAGCGUCAUUUCAACCAUCAAGCCCCGGCGCUUGUGUUGGGGACCCGCGGCUGCCGCGGGCCCUUAAAGACAGUGGCGGUCCUCGCUGCAGCACCGAGCGUAGUAGCUAUACACCUCGCCCUGGGAGCUGCGCGUGUGACCACGCCGUAAAACCCCCCACCUCUCACAAGGUUGACCUCGGAUCAGGUAGGAAUACCCGCUGAACUUAAGC